RNAcentral lists this ribosomal RNA (553 nucleotides) under uncultured Candidatus Fukatsuia sp. Its description in RNAcentral is "bacterial SSU rRNA". It matches the Rfam family "Bacterial small subunit ribosomal RNA", at positions 788 to 1339 of the family's 1533-position model. Lineage: Bacteria; Pseudomonadati; Pseudomonadota; Gammaproteobacteria; Enterobacterales; Yersiniaceae. The record is from RNAcentral.
UGGUAGUCCACGCUGUAAACGAUGUCGAUUUGUAGGUUGUGGUUAUAAACUGUGGCUUGCGGAGCAAACGCGUUAAAUCGACCGCCUGGGGAGUACGGCCGCAAGGUUAAAACUCAAAUGAAUUGACGGGGGCCCGCACAAGCGGUGGAGCAUGUGGUUUAAUUCGAUGCAACGCGAAGAACCUUACCUACUCUUGACAUCCAGAGGAGUCGACAGAGAUGUUGACGUGCCCUUCGGGAGCUUUGAGACAGGUGCUGCAUGGCUGUCGUCAGCUCGUGUUGUGAAAUGUUGGGUUAAGUCCCGCAACGAGCGCAACCCUUAUCUUUUGUUGCCAGCACGUAGAGGUGGGAACUCAAGAGAGACUGCCGGUGAUAAACCGGAGGAAGGUGGGGAUGACGUCAAGUCAUCAUGGCCCUUACGAGUAGGGCUACACACGUGCUACAAUGGCGUAUACAAAGAGAAGCGAGCCUGCGAGGGUGAGCGGACCUCAUAAAGUACGUCGUAGUCCGGAUUGGAGUCUGCAACUCGACUCCAUGAAGUCGGAAUCGCUAGU